This 1506-nucleotide unclassified non-coding RNA is filed under the name Hevea brasiliensis (rubber tree). The record is from RNAcentral. Lineage: Eukaryota; Viridiplantae; Streptophyta; Magnoliopsida; Malpighiales; Euphorbiaceae.
UCACAACUCACCACCGUCCAUCGGCUUCCACCACCACCAUCACGACGGCGGCGCCGGCGGAACCUGCGUUAACUGCGGCGGACCUACCGCGUUCCCAUCACCGCCUCCUGAUCCUAAUCCCAACUACAUCCCCAUCCGUGCUCCGGCCGUCAACCUACCACCAGCCAAUAACAGAGAAAUCAUCAUGCGAACACCAGUUCCUCAAUCACAGAGAGUUGUUCCGUUAACUCCUCCUUACCAUUUCCAAACUCCGAUGAAGAAAAUCCACAACCAAAACGACAUCGUUCAGUUUCAAUCAUCACCUACUUGCCAGAACUUCCUCGGGUUCGUGGUGUUACUAUCGGAGUCUAUUCGUUCACAUAAGCUCUCAGAUCCUUGUCAUGAGUCGUCUGUAGUGUUAGCCAUUGUCUCUGUGCUUGAAACCCUAAGUGUCUACGUUGAUGAGAUCCCUUUAGCACCACAGUCGUCUCGAUACGGGAACUUGGCGUACCGAACGUGGCAUGAACGUAUGAGCUGUGAUGCUGAGUCAUUUUUGCAUCAGUUUCUGCCUCCUGAUCUCCAGUCGGCUACUGUUGAACUUGUUCCUUACUUUACUGAUAGCUUUGGGAACUCCAGCAGAAUUGAUUAUGGUACCGGACAUGAGACAAAUUUCGCAGCAUUGUUGUAUUGUUUAGCAAGAUUAGGAGUUCUGAAAGAAGAAGACUAUCAAGCUCUGGUGUCAAGGGUUUUUGUCAAGUACUUGGAUUUGAUGAGGAAGUUGCAAGUGACCUAUUGCCUAGAGCCUGCUGGGUCCCAUGGGGUUUGGGGACUAGAUGACUACCACUUCUUACCUUUUAUAUUUGGGUCAUCUCAGUUGAUUGAUCACAAGUACAUGAAACCAAAAUCUAUUCAUAACAAAGAUAUCUUGGAGAACUUUGCAAAUGAAUAUCUUUAUCUCUCGUGUAUUGUAUUCAUAAUGAAGGUGAAGAAGGGAGUGUUUGCAGAGCACUCUCCCAUGUUAGAUGACAUCAGUGGUGUACCCAAUUGGAACAAGGUAAACAGUGGCUUACUUAAGAUGUACAAGAUUGAAGUUCUGCAGAAGGUUCCUAUCAUGCAGCAUUUCCUUUUCGGCUCCAUUAUCCAAUGGCAAUGAUUCUGAGCCAGGGGUCAGUCAUAUAUAGCUUCCUAUUUAUCAGCAGCUAUAUAGUGAUGGAGGAAACAUUACAUUCUAAUAUUUUCGCAGCAAACAUCUACACCGUUUGAUGCUUUUAAUGUAUCAGCCUGUUAUUCAGAAGCUGUCUUCGUUUUGAUAACGGUGUUGUCUGAGUCAGCUUGCCCGUACCUCGACCAUUCUACCGGAUACCUAUACUACCUUCCACCAGCUUUUUGUCUAGAUUUUGAAUAUUAUUGUUAUAAAAGUGAUGUUGAAGUAAAUUUUUCAUGGCACUAUGUAAAAUUACUCCAGUUGCAGAGUGGUGAUCUAAACUUUUGACAGUUACUUCUUAAUAUAUCUCUGCAAUCCUUGUG